This 165-nucleotide non-coding RNA is filed under the name uncultured Paenibacillus sp. The record is from RNAcentral. Lineage: Bacteria; Bacillati; Bacillota; Bacilli; Caryophanales; Paenibacillaceae.
GAAUAGGUGCUUCUGUUGGGAGCUUAAAAGGGAAGUCCGGUGCAAGGCCGGCGCGGUCCCGCCACUGUAACAGAGGAGUCCGUUGCGAUUCUUGCCACUGAUGAACCCCAUCGGGAAGGCAGCAGGAAGACGUUGAAUCUGGAGCCAGGAGACCUGCCUAUUCUG